RNAcentral lists this ribosomal RNA (406 nucleotides) under Callulops sp. RODS-2018. RNAcentral describes it as "partial small subunit ribosomal RNA". It matches the Rfam family "Bacterial small subunit ribosomal RNA", at positions 794 to 1413 of the family's 1533-position model. The record is from RNAcentral. Lineage: Eukaryota; Metazoa; Chordata; Amphibia; Anura; Microhylidae.
GCUUAGCCGUAAAAUAUUAACUUACACCUAACCCGCCAAGGAAUUACGAGCCCAAGCUUAAAACCUAAAGGACUUGACGGUGUCCCAUCCCCCUAGAGGAGCCUGUUCUAUAAUCGAUUCUCCCCGAUAAACCUCACCAUCUCUUGAUUAUCAGCCUGUAUACCUCCGUCGCAAGCUUACCAUGUGAAGGUACUUAGUGAGCUUAAAGGUUAAUAACCAGAACGCCAGGUCAAGGUGCAGCCUACGAGAAGGGAAGAAAUGGGCUACAAUUUCUAUAUUAGAACAAACGGAAAGCUGCAUGAAACACAGCUAUUGAAGGCGGAUUUAGUAGUAAAAAGAAAAUAGAGAGUUCUUUUUAAUAAGGCCCUGGGACGCGUACACACCGCCCGUCACCCUCUUCAAACCA